UUAGAGUUUGAUCCUGGCUCAGAAUGAACGUUGGCGGCGUGGAUUAGGCAUGCGAGUCGUGCGCGAACUGUAGCAAUACAGGGAGAGCGGCGAAAGGGAGAGGACAACGUGGGAAUCUGCCCUCGGGACGGGGAUAGCGGCGGGAAACUGCCGGUAAUACCCGAUAAUAUCUUUGGAUCAAAGGUGUGAUUCCGCCCGAGGAUGAGCCCACGCCCUAUUAGCUUGUUGGCGGGGUAACGAGCUACCAAGGCAAUGAUGGGUAGCUGGUGUGAGAGCAUGACCAGCCUCAUUGGCACUGAGACACUGGCCAGACACCUACGGGUGGCUGCAGUCGAGAAUCUUCGGCAAUGGACGAAAGUCUGACCGAGCGACGCCGCGUGCGGGAUGAAGGCCCUUGGGUUGUAAACCGCUGUCGUAGAGGAACAAAGGUAUGUGGGUUCUCCCAUGUAUUUGAGUGAUUCUAGGAGGAAGGAGAGGCUAAGCUCGUGCCAGCAGCCGCGGUAAGACGAGCUCUCCAAACGUUAUUCGGUAUCACUGGGCUUAAAGAGUUCGUAGGCGGCUUGACAGGUGAGGUGUGAAAGCCCACGGCCUAACCGUGGAAUUGCGCUUCAAACCGUCGAGCUGGAGGGAUGCAGGGGUAUGCGGAACAGAUGGUGGAGCGGUGAAAUGCGUUGAUAUCAUCUGGAACACCGGUGGCGAAAGCGGCAUACUGGGCAUUUUCUGACGCUGAGGAACGAAAGCUUGGGUAGCGAACGGGAUUAGAUACCCCGGUAGUCCUAGCCGUAACGAUGAGCACUAGUCUGGGGGGACCCAUAUAUCCUCCCGGACGUAGCGAAA
This 837-nucleotide ribosomal RNA is filed under the name uncultured bacterium. RNAcentral describes it as "bacterial SSU rRNA". It matches the Rfam family "Bacterial small subunit ribosomal RNA", at positions 1 to 856 of the family's 1533-position model. The record is from RNAcentral.